RNAcentral lists this long non-coding RNA (1135 nucleotides) under Zonotrichia albicollis (white-throated sparrow). RNAcentral describes it as "lncRNA (ENSZALG00000003048.1)". Lineage: Eukaryota; Metazoa; Chordata; Aves; Passeriformes; Passerellidae. The record is from RNAcentral.
GGAACCGGAGCGGGUGGCCAAGCCAAGAGCCCGGGGUCAGUGCCAAGCACCAGCUCCCUCCUCCCAGUCGGCCACGGUCAGAUGAUGUGCGAGGCGAGCCGGGAGGCUCCUAGUCUGGCAGGCAGCCUGCUCUGCUCCAGAGGCUCCAGUGCUGUCAUCCUGGCAUUAACCCCUGAUAACCUUGUCCUUUCCAGGACGGGACUGUGGCUUUUAGAUACCAGCAGGGAUCAGAGGCAUAGUGCAACAUUCCCGGCCUGUCCGCAAUUUUGGAAUGAAAUGUCAAUCAGCCAAGAGGUCCCUUGAACCAGACAAGGUCCCACAGCACAGAGAGCCAGAGGAGGGAACGAUGCCAAUGCUCUUCCAGCCUGGGGAAGUUUUUCCCUGCGUUUUUGGUGUGGAGUUGGGAGCUAGAAACUGAGUCUGUGCCUGCUGCAGGAGAGCCUUGUUGGUUUCCCAGCCUCAAGGCUUGCAGAACCUUGAUCCAGCACCCACCAUUCACCAUCACUCAACAUCCACUGCGUCUUGCAGAGCCUGAGGUGCUUCCAGAGUUUGGGCAAAUCAGCAGAAUUAGGCCAAAAUCUGGACAACCUCUCAGGUUUGGUAUUUUAGGAGCAACCUCUGUAAAAAAGCAGUGGAUGUGGCGGAGACACACGCCAGCUCAACUUGCUCUCCCUCUCUGAGGACAAGCUCUGGACUUCUUGAGAGCUUUGCUUUGCCAGCAGAUCCAGCACCAACCCCACCAGCUCACUUCUACCCUUGGAUCAAGGCUUCUCCAUGGGUCAUACAGGAAUUUGGCUCCCACCAACCUGAUGCCACCAAACCACGGGCCAGCCACCUUCAGUCACUCCAGCCAUGGCUUUGCUUGUUUGAAAGAAGUCACAACCAAACACAUCUGCUGAGAACAAGUCAGCUCAAAAUACAGGAAAACCACCCUCUGUCUCCUAUUUACGGGAAUUAUUUUUAUCCCCAAUGGGAUAUUUUUGCUCUUUAACCACACGGAGGACAGAAGGGAUCUGGCUGGCAAUACCUGAGCACAGCCGAGUCAGUGGGAGCAACCGUGAGCGAGGAGUCCUGACCUACCCACAGGCUGACCACCGACAAAAAUAAAGAUGAUAUAAGAAAAUAAAUAAAGCCA